This is a long non-coding RNA of Piliocolobus tephrosceles (Ugandan red Colobus), 181 nucleotides long. RefSeq lists it as uncharacterized. NCBI's taxonomy places the organism in Eukaryota, Metazoa, Chordata, Mammalia, Primates, Cercopithecidae. The transcript has 3 exons. The record is from RefSeq and is a predicted model, not a curated record.
GCCAGAUCUUCCCAGGCUUUGUAAGCCGUGGCGGGGUGAUUCGAUUUUAUCCACAGUGGAUGGGGAGCCGCAAGAAGGGUCUGAAUGGAGUUGGAUGUGAGAGAACACAGUCAUCCUGAGUAAAAGCUAAGGCUGGUUUCCAACUUCUGGACUCAAGUGAUCCUCCGGCCUCAGCCUCCCA